GGGUAGCCUAGUGGUUAGAGUGUAGAGGGGGCAGGGUAGCCUAGUGGUUAGAGUGUAGAGGUGGCAGGGUAGCCUAGUGGUUAGAGUGUAGAGGUGGCAGGGUAGCCUAGUGGUUAGAGUGUAGAGGGGGCAGGGUAGCCUAGUGGUUAGAGUGUAGAGGAGGCAGGUAGCCUAGUGGUUAGAGUGUAGAGGAGGCAGGUAGCCUAGUGGUUAGAGUGUAGAGGGGGCAGGGUAGCCUAGUGGUUAGAGUGUAGAGGCGGCAGGGUAGCCUAGUGGUUAGAGUGUAGAGGGGGCAGGUAGCCUAGUGGUUAGAGUGUAGGGACGGUAGGUAGCCUAGUGGUUAGAGUGUAGAGGGGGCAGGGUAGCCUAGUGGUUAGAGUGUAGAGGAGGCAGGUAGCCUAGUGGUUAGAGUGUAGAGGAGGCAGGUAGCCUAGUGGUUAGAGUGUAGAGGGGGCAGGGUAGCCUAGUGGUUAGAGUGUAGAGGAGGCAGGUAGCCUAGUGGUUAGAGUGUAGAGGGGGCAGGGUAGCCUAGUGGUUAGAGUGUAGGGGAGGCAGGUAGCCUAGUGGUUAGAGUGUAGGGGAGGCAGGUAGCCUAGUGGUUAGAGGAGGCAGGUAGCCUAGUGGUUAGAGUGUAGGGGAGGCAGGUAGCCUAGUGGUUAGAGUGUAGAGGGGGCAGGGUAGCCUAGUGGUUAGAGUGUAGAGGGGGCAGGGUAGCCUAGUGGUUAGAGUGUAGAGGAGGCAGGUAGCCUAGUGGUUAGAGUGUAGAGGAGGCAGGUAGCCUAGUGGUUAGAGUGUAGAGGGGGCAGGGUAGCCUAGUGGUUAGAGUGUAGAGGAGGCAG
This is a long non-coding RNA of Oncorhynchus tshawytscha (Chinook salmon), 839 nucleotides long. NCBI's taxonomy places the organism in Eukaryota, Metazoa, Chordata, Actinopteri, Salmoniformes, Salmonidae. The record is from Ensembl.